Molecule: long non-coding RNA, 1426 nt
Organism: Portunus trituberculatus (swimming crab)
Lineage: Eukaryota; Metazoa; Arthropoda; Malacostraca; Decapoda; Portunidae
Exons: 2
Source: RefSeq, a predicted model, not a curated record
GUGAUAGAUGUGAUGCUGGUGGAGGCAGAGGUGAUGUCGGCAAUGGUAGUGGAGCUAGUGGUGAUGAUGUCAGUGGUGGUGCCGGCAGGGAACGGUUAGGGCGGUGGUGUCAGUGGUGGAGGUGGUAGGGACGGUUAGCGCGGCAGGAUCAAAGCACAGCCGACAUUCCUACCGGCGGAGGAGCUUUGGGGAUGCCUAGCAAGUAACAGCUGGUAAUGAUCGUGAAUGUGAACAAUACCUCCACCCCAGACGCCUGCCACGCCCCCAGGCCAGACUACACUAGUGCCAUGCAACGCCAGUGUCGCCCCCUUUCAACGCAACACUCCGCCAACCUCGCCCAGCCAAGUUUACUUCUCGCCAAAUUGGACACCUCUGGCGGCCACAUCAAAGUGUCGGCGGUCGAGACUCAAACCGGCCGUGUGUACACCCAUGUAUACCACCUGCCUUGUGUGUGUGCACCCACCCAGGACCACCAUCCGACGUAUAUUUCACCUCGCAUGUGGCACUGUUCAACUGUAUGAAGGAUGCACACUGUACGCCAGGGAGGCCGGAACACAUGAGGGCUAUCGGGUAUCCCCGGGUGCCUGGGUGCCAGCGAGACGCAACCCACCACCCGUCUUGCACCAGGACAGAGCUCUGGCGUGUUCAGCAGACACACCCACCCACCCACACCCACCCAUCCGCUCACACCCAUCCGCAUCACGUCUGAAUACGAGCUCACUAUGAAUGAGGUGACCAACUGUUGUAUUCACUCAUAAUAUGAAUCAAUUAAGACAGUAGUGUCAGCAUGUGGAACACACACACACACACACACACACACACACACACACACACACAUAAGUAUCUCUGGUUUUCCUUCUAAAGAUCAUCAAAACAGCUUUCCUUUUAAAACCACAGGCUUUCCAUUCCUUGUCCCCACCAUGGAGCCUCGGGCAGCGGGCAGCGGGCAGCGGGUAGGGAAGCACAAGGAUAGGGUGGGUGACCGUACUACUCUGUGACAACCUUCGCCCGGCAGGACAAUCUUAUCAGCAACGCACAUUAAGAAGCACAUUCGCUGUGGAAAUGUUGUAGCCUUGGUACCGCCAACCCCUGGUGAUGACAAGGACUAGCUAGCACUCUCAGACGACCAAUGUACCACAGAGACACGAUCCCACCCCAUAUCACUACAAUAAUUAAAUACCAAACGAGACUUGUAACAGUUAUCAAAAAACACACAUGGCACAGGUUUAACAUGCCCAUAUGAAGGUUCAACUAAAGCUCCUCAAUAACAAAAAUAGAUAAAUAGAUAAAUAAAUAAAUAAAACAAAUAAAUAGAAUAAAAAUAAAAAAAUAAGGUGUCCAAAUAUGACAAUUGUCUUAAGUUCUGCGCUCCUGUGGUUAUAAUUAACUUAGAGGCUGGAAUGAAAUAUCAGUAAAUCCUACUAGU